CCGGAAUCCUGCUGGCUGGCCAUGUCGGCGGUAUACAAAGAGGCUCCCGGGACUGGACUGGGAGCCGCUGGAGGAGCAGGUACCGGGCGUGGAGAUGUGCCUGUCACAGGAAGGGGUGCCUCAUUGUGAUCCAUACAGCCAAUGGACUGGUGGUAGCCUGGGGUGGUGUGGAAGGAACACCAAGAAAACAGAGCAUUUCAAGAAGACACAGGCCAACUGGUCACCUGUGUCCCAGCCUGCUGAGUGGCAGGGUGGGAUGAAGGUGGUGAAAGUGUGAUCACAUGUUUGCAGUUAUCUACCAACAAAGUCUGAUGGACUGGGAGUCAGGAAACUUUAUCCUGUUCCUUACUCUAACCUGAAUAUGAUGACCUUGGGCAAGUUACUUCCUACUAAAUGAGGAAAGCGGCUUCUUAUCACCAGACGGGCUCAUCUCCUGGGACAGGCCCACCUUUGAUUUCUCAUAUUAUUGGGAGGGGCCCCCACACGGGGAAAGAACAGAGCACAAUAAAUGAUUUGAUGUCAGUCUUUGGCAUUUGUUACUUCAAUCUUUUGGCAAUAGAUUCACCUUCUCAAUUCUGUUCUGAUAAAGCUAAUAUCAAAAGUACCCCCAUAUAAAGCACACGCUGCCUGUCGAGGAAGAGCAGCAGACAGGGGAGCAAAAAAUAACUGGGAAGGAGAAAGAGGUAAGUCAAAGUGAAACGGAUCAAGUUGUCUUCUGUGAAGGCAGUGAGGCAGUAUCAAAGUGCUUCCUUUGGUUUAGAGGAAAAGUGACAGUCUACCGUUGGCCAAGUCCUGGAAACCAGGGAUAUCCUGUAGCUGAAAACCAGCUCACGGUCCCGAAGAUGAAGUGCUGAGCUAAGGAAUUAGAUACAUAGAACAGCCCUUCAGGGGGCACCUGGGUGGCUCAGUGGGUUAAGCCUCUGCCUUUAGCUCAGGUCAUGAUCUCAGGGUUCUGGGAUCCAGCCCUGCAUCAGGCUCUCUGCUUAGCGGGGAGCCUGCUUCCUCCUCUCUCUCUGCCUGCCUCUCUGCCUGCUUGUGAUCUCUGUCUGUCAAAUAAAUAAAUAAAACCUUUUAUAAAAAUAAAACAAAAAACACCAGCCCUUCAGGUAAAACACAUGUUUUAAACAGAAGUGGGUCCCUCCCUGAGCAUCACUGAUUCAACCUUCACAGUGACCAUCUGCCCAGAGAUGGAUGGGAAAGACCCUCUGAUCCUGCCUUUAGAGGAGCCCAGCAACGGUGAACACAUGAUCGCCUUCUCCACCCACAGGCACCGUUCCACGUGGUAGAAAAUGUCACUCCGAAGGCCCAAGAAAAUUCUGCAGGAUAGACAAAGUCUUGCCAGGCAUGUUUUUAGAAAGGGUGGGGAAAUCACCACCCUAUUUUGAUCAGACAGGCAGAGCUUUGUGUAGGAGGGUGGGGCUGCUAGAAACUGUCUGAAGGAUGAUGGGAGGGAACAGUUUAACGGGCCGGUGGGGAGAGCGGUUCCAACUGCCCGGCUCAGCUAGGGAGCCAGAGAAAGGAUAAUGAUCUUUGCAGACGGUCAGGGUGGGUGAGGUCACUUUGAGCGGCCCAGGGAGAUAGAGGUGGAGGGUCAGGAUUCCGAUGCCCACAAUGGCAGUUGUGGGGAGACACAAGCUCCAGUCAGCCCUCACUCCACCAGGUACUGGCCUCAGCGAUCCACUCCUGUGGUCAAGGUACUCCCUUCUCGUUUAUAGGGUACAGGUGAUACUGUACCAUCUGCUAGCCACAGAAGGUUGUUUCAGGAUUUCAAAGGGGAUUCUGUAGAUGAAAGGACUUUGUAUCCCCAGCGUGUCCAUGUUAGGAUGCUCAGGGCUCCUGAAGUCUAAGGAUCACACAAAAGGGCAAGAGGUCCCCGGUCAGCUCUUCCCUCUUCCAGAAACACAUCAUCGCUUUCCAGCUAUUGUAGACUUCAGCUUCUGGACUAGGGACAUACCAGGGUUGUCCUGCUAUUUAAGUGGCCAUUUGUAAACUCCAGGAAUGUGCUGGUGGUUUGCUUGCGCCUUAUCCAAAUGCCACUUCGGUCUCUGGAUAAAUACAGGAUGGGUGGCAACCGCAGUCUGCCUACUACUCCGCCCUACCUCAAGAUUUAUUUUCCAUCUUCUUUGCUCUUCAAGGGAAUUUUUUUCUUAUCCUUUAUAAUUUUUUUUAAAUCUGUCUAUAAAUUCUCUAAUUCUCAACUGUAUAUAUUCUUUCCAUAAAUAUAGUUCAAAUUUUAUGUUCAUGAAAACAACAGGCAGCAGAAAAGAAAGGAAAGGGGACAUGGAUGUGGAUGGACCUACUUUUGAGCUGUUGGAUAACAUUUUGAGACAUUUCUGAGAGUUGAGAAAUGUAUCAGCAAGAAGGCUGGAAUGAAUCUGGAAUGAAUGAAUGAAUCUGGAAUGAAUAUAGCUCUACUCUCGACUUUGGCUUUAUACCUACUCGUACAUAUGAGGACAAUGAAAAUUAUGGGGACUCAACAGCUAGGACACGGCGGAGUAGUGAUCACAACGAUAAUGCAGAUAAUGGCUAGCUAGAUGACAGAGCCAAACUGGAGCACAGAUCUGAUGCUAGGCCAGUUAUGUCCAAUAGAAAUAUAACAUAAGCCAAAUAUGCAAUUUAAAAUUUUCUAGUAUGUACAUUUAUAAUAAUGAAAUGGGUAAAAUUAAAUAUAUUUUAUCUAACCUAAUAAAAACCCAAAUAUGAUCACUUCAACAUGCAAUAUAUGUAAAAUUAUUAGUGGGACAUGUAAUAUUCUUUUUUUUCUUGCACUAAAUAUUUGAAAUCUGGUGUAUUAUUUUACAGCACAUUUUAAAUUAGACAUCCACAUUCCCUGGGCUCAAGAGCCACAUGUGGCUAAUGGUUCCUUUAUUGGACAGUGCAGCUCUAGGAAGUUCUUAACUACUUUUGGACCCUUAUGGCAGUCUGGCAAAGCCAAUGGGCUCCUUCUCAGAACGUCAAGAAGACAAAAUGCAUGAGAUUACAACAGAAACCAGUUAUUUUGAAAUACAGUUAUCAAAUGAUUUCAAAAACCACAAAACUGUGGUUUGUAGAUACACAUUUCUUUACAUAUACAUUAAAUACAUUGAAGAACAUAACCCAGAGGUAAGCCCAGUAAUCAUAAUAAUUUUGUAAUAAAAUAAGAAACAAACAAUAUUGAAAUCUACCUAAAGCAACUAUAAUAUAAUGAAAAAAAAAUCUGUGAUUUCAAUUAGUAGUGAAGUCAAAGGUACUGCUAAUACUAUUUUUGUUGCCUAUAUUAGUAC
Molecule: long non-coding RNA, 3263 nt
Organism: Mustela lutreola (European mink)
Lineage: Eukaryota; Metazoa; Chordata; Mammalia; Carnivora; Mustelidae
Exons: 3
Source: RefSeq, a predicted model, not a curated record